GACGAACGCUGGCGGCGUGCCUAAUACAUGCAAGUUGAGCGAUGAAGAUUGGUGCUUGCACCAAUUUGAAGAGCAGCGAACGGGUGAGUAACGCGUGGGGAAUCUGCCUUUGAGCGGGGGACAACAUUUGGAAACGAAUGCUAAUACCGCAUAACAACUUUAAACAUAAGUUUUAAGUUUGAAAGAUGCAAUUGCAUCACUCAAAGAUGAUCCCGCGUUGUAUUAGCUAGUUGGUGAGGUAAAGGCUCACCAAGGCGAUGAUACAUAGCCGACCUGAGAGGGUGAUCGGCCACAUUGGGACUGAGACACGGCCCAAACUCCUACGGGAGGCAGCAGUAGGGAAUCUUCGGCAAUGGACGAAGGUCUGACCGAGCAACGCCGCGUGAGUGAAGAAGGUUGUCGGAUCGUAAAACUCUGUUGGUAGAGAAGAACGUUGGUGAGAGUGGAAAGCUCAUCAAGUGACGGUAACUACCCAGAAAGGGACGGCUAACUACGUG
Molecule: ribosomal RNA, 497 nt
Filed under: uncultured bacterium
Lineage: Bacteria
Description: partial 16S ribosomal RNA
Rfam family: Bacterial small subunit ribosomal RNA
Source: RNAcentral